RNAcentral lists this long non-coding RNA (436 nucleotides) under Triticum aestivum (bread wheat). RNAcentral's name for it is "long non-coding RNA (TAES_LNC010919)". Lineage: Eukaryota; Viridiplantae; Streptophyta; Magnoliopsida; Poales; Poaceae. The record is from RNAcentral.
UGGGAAGAUCAUAGAGAGAGCCAGCCAUGUACACUACCAAGAGGUGCAUUGCCACGGCCAUCGUGGUGGUGCUCUGGCUCCAGGCCGCCGCCUCUCCCCUGGCGGCGUGAUCCGGCUUCCGAGCGAUGGCAGAGGUUCGUGACUGACACAAGUGCCCGUGAACUACUGUUUGUUGCCACAUACUCCUUCCGUCCCAUAAUGCAUGACAUUUUUGUAAUGUCGAAAAAUGUCUUGCAUUACGGGCCGGAGGGACUACAUGCUAUUUCUACUUCGUUUAUUGCUUAUCACCGAUGGACUCACUGUAAGCAUGGAAGAUCUCAGGUGAUUCUGUUGAUCAAGUCGGGUCGUCAAAGGUGAUCGGCAUAGAGGAUCCAUUCUAUACUUGUCCGGAUGGCAAGGUGCUGAAAUGCAAAGUCAUUGCGUUACAAUGGUAUUG